GGGGCUGUAGCGAAGUUUGGUUAUCGCGCUGGCCUGUCAAGCCAGAGAUCGCGGGUUCGAGUCCCGUCAGCCCCGCCA
Molecule: transfer RNA, 78 nt
Filed under: bacterium
Lineage: Bacteria
Also listed under: 1 other name
Description: tRNA-Asp
Rfam family: tRNA
About the family: Transfer RNA (tRNA) molecules are approximately 80 nucleotides in length. Their secondary structure includes four short double-helical elements and three loops (D, anti-codon, and T loops).
Source: RNAcentral